Molecule: long non-coding RNA, 428 nt
Filed under: Nicotiana benthamiana
Lineage: Eukaryota; Viridiplantae; Streptophyta; Magnoliopsida; Solanales; Solanaceae
Description: long non-coding RNA (NBEN_LNC005574)
Source: RNAcentral
CUUCCAUAGUUCAAUCACAUUGACUUUUCGUUUGCUUUGAUGUGAUCUUGAUGUUACUUCUGAUAAUAUUGCAGAGAACCAUGGAAACGUCCCUCCUUUUCUGUAAUCAUGGAUAUGCUGAGACCACUAAUUAAACCUCCUCUUGAAGUUACUUCUGAUAAUAUUGCAGAGAACCAUGGAAACGUCCCUCCUUUUCUGUAAUCAUGGAUAUGCUGAGACCACUAAUUAAACCUCCUGUAACACCUCCUCAACCAGGUCGUACAGACAUGCAGUUGCUUACGUGAAUGCAUGUAUUAAAUGUAUGAUUUCUGCACAUAUUUGGCAUUCUUUGUUAGUCACCUUUCUGGGAGGAACAAUGCUUCAGUUACUUCAGGUUCGAUAAUCCUACUAUCUAUGUCUUCUUUUUUUCCCCACGAAAUCUCUCUCUU